Long non-coding RNA from Ornithodoros turicata, 1018 nucleotides. RefSeq lists it as uncharacterized. The transcript is spliced from 3 exons. The record is from RefSeq and is a predicted model, not a curated record. NCBI's taxonomy places the organism in Eukaryota, Metazoa, Arthropoda, Arachnida, Ixodida, Argasidae.
UCCGCCGCUUGUGCCCUCCGGCGGCUUCUGAGUGCAAGUGGAACGAGCGCCGUCGUCCCCUUUGUUGCAGCCAUUUCGGGCAGGCUCUGUUGACUGCUGAUAACGGGGAGUGACGCACGCUGAUACGACGUGGUGUCACGGAUUGAUAGGGAUUCCUUCAUCUUCGCCCGUGUGCUUGCAUAGAGUCCCGUUUACCAGAGGACCCGAUCCAGGGUGCUGUCAACCUCCCUACUGAGACUUCCAUUCCACUGGCGCCGGAGAUGAAUCAUGAAGGCCAUCAUCGCAAGCCAAUGGCACAGAAGGAGAAGAGAACAAUGAUAUAAUAUGUAAUAAACUGUCAAUAACUCUCAGUUCUUUCAUGCUCGGGUGCUCUUUCUGCUCGUGUUUCUCAUUCAACAUUUUUGUAAAAGUCCCCAAAUCUGUUUGGUUACAAUCUCAAAGUCUGGAUCAUUUGGCAUGGAAUGACCCUCAACAACCUGUGGUGUAUAUCCUUUCGUAAAUAGCCAUUCUAAUGUUCGUGUAAGCAAGUAAACAUCACUACUGUAUACUACAAGAGGGAUGUCAUACUGGCUUAGAACAAGCUAUAUUGUCUGUGAUGCAUUUGUUUCAGAAAGAAUACCUUGCUAGUUUUGGGAGGACCCGCUUUCCACGCUGUAGUCAGGGCUGCUGUGUCCAGAGUAUUGCGGCCAUUGCUACAGGCCGAAUUCAGUGUGAAUGAGAAGAAAGGUAGCAAGUGUGCGUUCACAGGGUCCAAUCCUUGCACUGUUGUGAUUGGAGCAAUAAUGCAGCGGUCCCCACUGCACGAGGAGCCAGCUGUGUGCAAGGCUGUAGGAAGGUUCAUUUUUGGCGCGGGUGACAGAGACAGCGGCAGGCAGAAGCGCAAGACAACUUCCAACUUAUGCAUCACUCCUGCCCCUUCAUACCAGAACGUCAUACGGGAGAACGAUCACCCGGAUUUCUGAUGUUGCACUUUCGGAAUAUGUGUAUUAAUUCUUAAAUAAAAGGCAACAUUAACAUG